AUAAAAAGAGAGAAUUUGAAGAAGAAAUAAGUAAAACUGAUUGAUAAGAGUGUGCAGAAUCGACUAAGUAUUUGGGUAAGGCUGGGCAUGUGGGUAAUCCAUUCGGGUUUGGGUAAAACCCGUUUGGGUUUGAAUUUAAUGGGUAUUGAAUAUACUACCUAAUAAGAGUAAUUCUAAAUAUUCGGUUCUGCUCCGGAUCGGAUCCAAUCGGGUUCAGGUCGGGUUGGGUAAAAAGUUUCAGGUCCUAAAAAUAUCUAAAAUAAAUAGAAACGAGUAUUUUUUAUGUAGAUAGCGGGUACCCAAACAAAAAA
RNAcentral lists this small RNA (311 nucleotides) under Arabidopsis thaliana (thale cress). RNAcentral describes it as "ATSL101150". The record is from RNAcentral. Lineage: Eukaryota; Viridiplantae; Streptophyta; Magnoliopsida; Brassicales; Brassicaceae.